Molecule: ribosomal RNA, 440 nt
Filed under: uncultured bacterium
Lineage: Bacteria
Description: bacterial SSU rRNA
Rfam family: Bacterial small subunit ribosomal RNA
Source: RNAcentral
CCUACGGGAGGCAGCAGUGGGGAAUAUUGGACAAUGGGCGCAAGCCUGAUCCAGCCAUGCCGCGUGAGUGAUGAAGGCCUUAGGGUUGUAAAGCUCUUUUGUCCGGGACGAUAAUGACGGUACCGGAAGAAUAAGCCCCGGCUAACUUCGUGCCAGCAGCCGCGGUAAUACGAAGGGGGCUAGCGUUGCUCGGAAUCACUGGGCGUAAAGGGCGCGUAGGCGGCCGAUUAAGUCGGGGGUGAAAGCCUGUGGCUCAACCACAGAAUUGCCUUCGAUACUGGUUGGCUUGAGACCGGAAGAGGACAGCGGAACUGCGAGUGUAGAGGUGAAAUUCGUAGAUAUUCGCAAGAACACCAGUGGCGAAGGCGGCUGUCUGGUCCGGUUCUGACGCUGAGGCGCGAAAGCGUGGGGAGCAAACAGGAUUAGAUACCCCGGUAGUC